UGUGGAAGAACUUGACAGGCCUCAACCCCAUCGAACACCUUUGGGAUAAAUUGGAACACUGACUGCGAGCCAGGCCUAAUUGCCCAACAUCAGUGCUUAACCUCACAAAUACUCUUGUGGCUGAAUAUAAUCAAAUCUCUGCAGCAAUGUUCCUUCUAGUGGAAAGCCUUCCCAGAAGAGUGGAGGCUGUUAUAGCAGCAAAGGGGGGACCAACUCCUUUAUUAAUGCCCAUGAUUUUGGAAUGAGAUAUUGGACGAGCAGGUAUCCAUAUACUAUUGGUCAUGUAGUGUACAUGCCCUCCUGUGCUAACUGACAUAGUGUCACGUGUGGCUGUCUGUUAUCAGUGGAUAGUGAGACUAUUGUCUAUUUGGACUUUGUCCUCCAGAAUGGGGUGGAACAUAACACAAUUAUAACCCUGUGAUCAAACUUUAUCAGUGUAGAAGCAACAGUCAUGUUUCAUACUUUGGUAGCCCUUCUUUGAUCUGGUUUCAUUCAAAUAUAAUCCAAUUUCAUGAAAACAACAGGAUUUUCAUUUUUCAGGACCUUUUUAAGCAGUUUUGUGUUUCCGUGAUUUAGUAUAUGUGUUGAAUGCUUUCCUCAGGUCUCCACACUGUUGGCUUUGAGGGAUUAGUUCAGUGUAGUCGUGAAUGAUGCCUUGUAAUCCACCAACCAUUUCACCGAUGGUGUUGUAGGAUUUUAGAUUGAUCUCUUAGAAAGAAACACAUUUGCUUAAUAGCUUAAGUCAUCCUGUGGAUAUGACAGUAUGGCUAUAGAGAUGGGCCAGGAGAUCAUGGGGUUUGUUUGGACUCUUUCUCCUGGGCAAAGCCCUACUAAAGCCACAGUUCUCUUCCCAAAUGGCACCCUAUUCCCCAUAUAGUGCACUACUUUUGACCAGAGCCCAUAGUGCACUAAAAAGGGAUAGGGUGCCAUUUGGGAUGCAGCCUCUGUCUGAAUGGGAGCCAUUGAGAAAGGAGGUAUUCAGUAGCAUUGAACAGUUGGGAAGGGAGGGAGUCGGGAGGGUGGAUUGGCGCUAUUCUGAGUAGAGUUCAAGGCUUCACUCCACCCUCCCAGGCACACAUGGUGUACGGGACACACACUCUCACAUUCACGUUACAUAGGCCUACUCAUUCUCUCUGCACAUAGUUUUCUACAGCUUUUAUUUUCACCGUAGUAUUUACUCUACUACACACCUAUUUAAUUACUAUGCUAUUAUUUUUGUGCAUUCACUCUAAUUAUAUCUAAACUUUUUCACUCAACUAUUUAUACCAAAAAUAGAGAGACAUUGGCGAAUGGAAAAUUGGCAGAAGUCAGGGAAUGUUGACCGUCCUUAUCUAGCAGUGCUGGAGAGUGUUUCUGCACUGUGCUUUUGACUUCAGGAUGGACAGUGUUAUUCUUAAUUCUCUCAAGCCUGUUUUGCCUGAUCACACAGCCAUGCUGGAUGAAGCACACAGCUGGAUUUCCUGGGGCAGCGGUUCAGAAAGAAGUCCAGGUCGGUUUGGGAGAGGUAGAAGACAGAAUGCUGGUGAGUGACAGUGGGGCCUUGUUUGCCCCAGCGCUGUAUUCAUGGAAAGAUUCUCAAUUGGAUUUCGCUAAACUCCUAUGUCCUCCGUACUCUCCUUACAUCCUUUUGAAAAAGGUAAUUGAGGAGAGGAAACGUGGAAACAAAUGCACUUGUAUGAAAUGAGACUCCUCCACUAGCACCGCAUCAGGCAAAUGAUGCUUACAGAGUACGAAUCCCAAAAUACAUGACUAAAGUUGUACAAAUGUAUUUUAGUGAUAAAAGGAUAAGUAGCAUAUUGUUUUUAAAUGUGUGCAUGAUUUUCUCUUGUGUGUGGCAGAGUAAACUCAGAGGAUGCUCCGCGGGAAGACGCAAUCGAGGACAGAGGCAGACUCCUCCGUUCACCUAAUAACGAAUUGACACUCCACUUAUCGGUUUCCAGGUCAUGAAGGAGAAAGGACAGAGGAGUCAUUUAUUUGUCCUUUCAGCUAGGUGCUAACAGAGUGAAAUGUGGGUCAAUUUACCAUGAGAGAGAAAAUCAUGCAAGGCUUUAAAUAUAAUAUCUAUCGGUAUGUUUGUAUGUAUGUAUGACUGACACAGGUACUUUCGCCAUUCUUGCUAUCCUGAUUGGCACUGUGAAGUGUAACGUGGAGUUGCUUAGCAACGGUGUUGAGGAGCGGGAGGGUUGACAGAGACGUGGCAGUACAACUUACCUUCCUUUGUGGCCUCAUACAGGUGAACGCACACACACACUGUCAAUUGUCUCUGUUACUCUACAGACAGUGUUGUUUUUGUUGGGGUGUGUGUCGCUGGCUGUCUUGGCCCCGUUGAGUGGUUACACCAUGGCAACAACGCUCCAUAUCAACAUCCACCAGCUGCCUCUACUCUGGUCAUCCCAACCUACAGACACAGCGGCAUUCUGGCUGUAGGCUGGAUAAUCCUGGCCACCUUCCUGUCAGUGCAGUUGGAGUAAUCCUGGCCACCUUCCUGUCAGUGCAGUUGGAGUAAUCCUGGCCACCUUCCUGUCAGUGCAGUUGGAGUAAUCCUGGCCACCUUCCUGUCAGUGCAGUUGGAGUAAUCCUGGCCACCUUCCUGUCAGUGCAGUUGGAGUAAUCCUGGCCACCUUCCUGUCAGUGCAGUUGGAGUAAUCCUGGCCACCUUCCUGUCAGUGCAGUUGGAGUAAUCCUGGCCACCUUCCUGUCAGUGCAGUUGGAGUAAUCCUGGCCACCUUCCUGUCAGUGCAGUUGGAGUAAUCCUGGCCACCUUCCUGUCAGUGCAGUUGGAGUAAUCCUGGCCACCUUCCUGUCAGUGCAGUUGGAGUAAUCCUGGCCACCUUCCUGUCAGUGCAGUUGGAGUAAUCCUGGCCACCUUCCUGUCAGUGCAGUUGGAGUAAUCCUGGCCACCUUCCUGUCAGUGCAGUUGGAGUAAUCCUGGCCUCCUUCCUGUCAGUGCAGUUGGAGUAACCCUGGCCACCUUCCUGUCAGUGCAGUUGGAGUAAUCCUGGCCACCUUCCUGUCAGUGCAGUUGGAGUAAUCCUGGCCACAUUCCUGUCAGUGCAGUUGGAGUAAUCCUGGCCACCUUCCUGUCAGUGCAGUUGGAGUAAUCCUGGCCACCUUCCUGUCAGUGCAGUUGGAGUAAUCCUGGCCACCUUCCUGUCAGUGCAGUUGGAGUAAUCCUGGCCACCUUCCUGUCAGUGCAGUUGGAGUAAUCCUGGCCUCCUUCCUGUCAGUGCAGUUGGAGUUGUGUCCAGGUAGUAGGACACAUACCCACUGGGUCAGUCUUACUGUCUCUCUUCAUCUGUUUGUGCAAUGUAGAGAAAUAAUAGUGAAAGAUAAUUUAUUUGUGAUAUAAAACUUAAGUUAUUAGAAUGUUAUGUUCCCAAGCUACAUGGGAUAGAUACAAACAUAUGAUGACACUACCAGUAGGUCCCCUCUCUCUCUCCGUGGCUCCAGUCUGCCCCCCCCCAACCCAACCCUCCCCUCUCUAGGACAGGCCAAGGAGCUGUUUCGUCCGGCUCUGUCCCUAGCUGCGGUAGGCUUCAGCUUCACAUCCUCCAUGGGGAGAAUGUACUCCCACAAACAUGGUUACACCUUGGACAGCAACCAGGUAACAGAGAAAUGAGAUCUCAUAAUGAACUCACUAUCCUCACUCCACUGUCAGAAGGACCAGUUUUUCUCUCCCCCUAUUUCAUUGCUAUAAGUGGUCUCCCUGCUGUAGGACCUGUUGGCGAUAGGGCUCUGCAACACAAUUGGACGGAUGUUCCUGUGUUUCGCUGUCAGCUGAUCCUUGCCACACAGUACGGUCUAAGGGAGUGUUAGGUGAAAACUCAGCUGGUGUGUUUGGCCACCCUAAUCUCCACCCUGCUGUUCAACCUGGAUCUGGGCCUGACUGCUGCCAUGGCCCUCUCUCUGAUAACUGGAGUGACUGUAUUCUCCUGCUCCAACCCUCUGUGCUUUGCAAACGCUGAGCUGUUCUUCAGCUCUCUGAGGUACUGUAGGUAGGCUACAUGCCACGAGACAUAAACUAUACCUCAACCCAGACAAUAUAACAUAAACCAUACCUCAACCCAGACAAUAUAACAUAAACCAUACCUCAACCCAGACAAUAUAACAUAAGCUAUACCUCAACCCAGACAAUAUAACAUAAGCUAUACCUCAACCCAGACAAUAUAACAUAAACCAUACCUCAACCCAGACAAUAUAACAUAAGCUAUACCUCAACCCAGACAAUAUAACAUAAACCAUACCUCAACCCAGACAAUAUAACAUAAGCUAUACCUCAACCCAGACAAUAUAACAUAAGCUAUACCUCAACCCAGACAAAGAAUUUGCUUGAUUGGGUUGAUUGCCUUUAACAAUAGCUUUGUGACUGGUGCAUAACAUAUUGCAUAAUCCAGUAAAACAUAAUACCCAUUACAUCAUAAAACAUGACUGUGCUGUGAGAUCAAAAUGUAUGGGCCUCCUUUACCUCACAGCAUAUCAUAAUGGAUGUUGUUGAUCUUAUCUGUGUGUUCUGUGUUAUCUUCAACCAUACAGACAGUCUUUGAAUAAGGUGUGUGUGUGUGUGUGUGUGUGUGGUGUGUGUGUGUGUGUGUGUGUGUGUGUGUGAUAAUGAGCAUAAGAGAGAGCGUGAGAUAGAGAUAUUCCAUACUGUGUGUUUCUGGCAGCUUGCCCAGAUAAAUUCCCACAAACCGUCAUGUUACUGCCAUAACAACCUCCCUUAUAAAGCUCCCUGCUCUACCCUCAACAGUGAUUGAUGUACUGAAUAUAUAUCCUAAUGUGAAACUGGACACUGCUAUUAAUUGUACCCCUCAGGACAUUGAUAGUACUGUUUUUGGUGGAAGAUGUGAUUGCAGUUGCUUUAGAAAUCAGUUUCAGAUUGUAAUGUACUGUGCAUGUCAGUUUCAGAUUGUAAUGUACUGUGCAUGUCGGUUUCAGAUUGUAAUGUAUUGUGCAUGUCGGUUUCAGAUUGUAAUGUACUGUGCAUGUCGGUUUCAGAUUGUAAUGUACUGUGCAUGUCAGUUUCAGAUUGUAAUGUACUGUGCAUGUCGGUUUCAGAUUGUAAUGUAUUGUGCAUGUCGGUUUCAGAUUGUAAUGUACUGUGCAUGUCGGUUUCAGAUUGUAAUGUACUGUGCAUGUCGGUUUCAGAUUGUAAUGUACUGUGCAUGUCGGUUUCAGAUUGUAAUGUACUGUGCAUGUCGGUUUCAGAUUGUAAUGUACUGUGCAUGUCGGUUUCAGAUUGUAAUGUACUGUGCAUGUCGGUUUCAGAUUGUAAUGUAUUGUGCAUGUCGGUUUCAGAUUGUAAUGUACUGUGCAUGUCGGUUUCAGAUUGUAAUGUACUGUGCAUGUCGGUUUCAGAUUGUAAUGUACUGUGCAUGUCGGUUUCAGAUUGUAAUGUACUGUGCAUGUCGGUUUCAGAUUGUAAUGUACUGUGCAUGUCGGUUUCAGAUUGUAAUGUACUGUGCAUGUCGGUUUCAGAUUGUAGCAUAGGACUAUGGAAGGUUUCUUUCCUUUUGAGCUCAAUAUUAACAUGCUGUAGUCUUCUUUUCAGCUAUGAAAAGACAGCAUAGGGAGAGGAGCCAGCCUAAGUCAGUCGGUUGGUCUGUCUGUCUGCAAUCUCUGUGACAUGUCCAAGUCUGACCCUCCUGCGUAAUGAUAAGAGGUGUCUGUGUGGGUUUAACGUUGGCUGUUUCUCUUGGACCACCUCCAAUGAGAUAAGACUUGGUUGAGCUCAGCUGAUGUCAUUCCACGAUGGCAUCCUCGUUUCCAUUUCAGGCCUGCUGUACUACUGGCAUUGCCUAGGUGGGUUGGUAAAGUUUGGAAAGACAAAUGUCAAGGUGUUACAUAGAAUGUUACAUUCAUGUUACAUAGAAAUAAAUCAUGACUGACUGACUCGCCCUCUUGUCACAUCGUUUCCAAAUGAAGUGGAAUUCAGGAGGGUAAAUGUGGAUGGUUUUUUCAACCUCGCUCAGUGAAAGGUUGUACAUUACCUGUAUAGUAUUAUGACUGCAAUCCACAUGCUGAUAGUUCACAACAAGACCAUACUGUCAAGUCAUUCAUUCUUUCUGCUGUGGGUUUAGAAAGAAAGGAAAAAGAAGCUGUUUAUAUAACAUAUGUGUUGGAGCAAUAUGGUAUCUUGUGUUCAAGUCCAUGUUUCAGAGCAGGUUGGUGUUUUGAAAGGGAGGAGAAAGGUUAAAGAAGGAUUUUAAACCUUGAGACAAUUGAAAUAUUGGAUUGUGUAUGUGUGCCAUUCAGAGGGUGAAUGGGCAAGACAAAAUAUUUAAGUGCAGGGUAUGGUAGUAAGUGCCAGGCGCACCAGUUUGUGUCAAGCAUUGCAAUGCUGCUGGGUUUUUCAUACUCAACAGCUUCCCGUGUUUAUCUAGAAUGGUCCACCACCCAAAGGAAAUCCAGCCAACUUGACACAAUUGUGUGCCAGCAUCCCUGUGGAACGCUUUCGACACCUUGUAGAGUCCAUUCCCCGACAAAUUGAGGCUGUUCA
Non-coding RNA from Salmo salar (Atlantic salmon), 6496 nucleotides. The record is from RefSeq and is a predicted model, not a curated record. NCBI's taxonomy places the organism in Eukaryota, Metazoa, Chordata, Actinopteri, Salmoniformes, Salmonidae.